GACGAACGCUGGCGGCGUGCUUAACACAUGCAAGUCGAACGGAAAGGCCCUGCUUGCAGGGUACUCGAGUGGCGAACGGGUGAGUAACACGUGGGUGAUCUGCCCUGCACUUCGGGAUAAGCCUGGGAAACUGGGUCUAAUACCGGAUAUGACCUUCCAUGUAGUGUGGGGGGUGGAAAGAUUUAUCGGUGUGGGAUGAGCCCGCGGCCUAUCAGCUUGUUGGUGGGGUAAUGGCCUACCAAGGCGUCGACGGGUAGCCGGCCUGAGAGGGUGGACGGCCACAUUGGGAUGGGGGAACGCCCCGAACCCACUCGGGGGGAAGGGGUGGGAAAUUUUCGAAGAGGGGCGGAGGCCGUAGGGAGGGGCGCCGGGUGGGGAAAGCCGGCUUUCGGGUUUGAACACUUUUUCGACAGGGACGAAGCUUCGGGACGGGUACCUGUAAAAAAAACACCGCUUACUACGUG
Molecule: ribosomal RNA, 464 nt
Filed under: uncultured bacterium
Lineage: Bacteria
Description: partial 16S ribosomal RNA
Rfam family: Bacterial small subunit ribosomal RNA
Source: RNAcentral